Stereum hirsutum FP-91666 SS1 is the source of this 98-nucleotide transfer RNA. It matches the Rfam family "tRNA". From Rfam's summary of the family: Transfer RNA (tRNA) molecules are approximately 80 nucleotides in length. Their secondary structure includes four short double-helical elements and three loops (D, anti-codon, and T loops). Further hydrogen bonds mediate the characteristic L-shaped molecular structure. tRNAs have two regions of fundamental functional importance: the anti-codon, which is responsible for specific mRNA codon recognition, and the 3' end, to which the tRNAs corresponding amino acid is attached (by aminoacyl-tRNA synthetases). tRNAs cope with the degeneracy of the genetic code in two manners: having more than one tRNA (with a specific anti-codon) for a particular amino acid; and 'wobble' base-pairing, i.e. permitting non-standard base-pairing at the 3rd anti-codon position. Lineage: Eukaryota; Fungi; Basidiomycota; Agaricomycetes; Russulales; Stereaceae. The record is from Rfam.
AGCUCGGUAGCGCAACGGUAGCGCGUCUGUUCCCGAUUUUGGGCUGAUGUGUACCUAAUGGUUGAUGGAAGAUCUCGGUUCGACUCCGAGUCGAGCUA